CCUUGCACCAGGAGAAACCAUUCAAAAAAUUGUAUACCUCGAAGGGAAGCCAACGCCAGUGUGCUUUAUCAAUGGUGGUGGAAUAUACUUACGAAGACAAACUCAAGGAAAACAACUCAACAGCUUUCACUAAGCUAUGUUUUGUUACAAGUUGAGGUAAUUGUUUACAUCUUUGUGGCAACAGCAGAGAAUGACAGUAUUCAAUCGGACUAGCAUUAAUUGCAAUUAUAUCAUCUUUGUCUGUAUUAUUUAAAUUCAUUAUUUGUUCUUCUGACACAAGUUUUGUAAAGUUAAAAUCUUUCUCAUUGAAAGGUUGGUUCAUUGAAAUAAUACUUUCUGGAGAUCUUCUUUUAUAACCGCGAUCAAUA
RNAcentral lists this unclassified non-coding RNA (368 nucleotides) under Bombus terrestris (buff-tailed bumblebee). RNAcentral describes it as "misc RNA ENSBTSG00005024347.1". The record is from RNAcentral. Lineage: Eukaryota; Metazoa; Arthropoda; Insecta; Hymenoptera; Apidae.